Molecule: regulatory RNA element, 130 nt
Organism: Peptococcaceae bacterium CEB3
Lineage: Bacteria; Bacillati; Bacillota; Clostridia; Eubacteriales; Peptococcaceae
Rfam family: SAM riboswitch aptamer (S box leader)
About the family: The SAM riboswitch is found upstream of a number of genes which code for proteins involved in methionine or cysteine biosynthesis in Gram-positive bacteria. The SAM riboswitch acts at the level of transcription termination control.
Source: Rfam
CACUCAUCAAGAGCGGCGGAGGGACUGGCCCGAUGAUGCCCGGCAACCGGUAGUCGGUGGGAGCUCUUUAAUGGAGCUUCGGACUACGAGGUGCUAAUUCCUGCAGAACAUGAGUUCUGAGAGAUGAGAG